CAACAUACUUUCUGAAGGUUUUAAGACUCUUUCCGGCCGCUGAAGAUGCUUUUCUUCAUCCCGGUUGAGGUGAUGAAGUCUUUAUUAGCUACUGACGGUGUGUUUUUUUUUAAGAAAAUACGCUCAUGUGACCCUGCAUUAUGAAAACAUACUGGAGUGGAAAUACAUUAAAUACAUAUAUUAGAGUGAGGCUGUUUGUUCUCCUCAUGUUGAGCCAGAAGCCGCUCAGCUCUGUGCUGCCGAUCUCCCAGCAGGAGAUACGGGUUCCUGCGUGUUGAGCUGGUAUUUUGAUAAACACGUCUGAUGUGUUCUGAAGUGGUUUCAUGUUUUUACAGAAAAAAAAACAACAGCAAAGAGUUACCAGGGAAUCUCCCGGCCUUAAUGCUCAGUUUAAGAAAGUUUGUGGUUUAAAUGUUAAAACAUGAACUCAUCUGAGACCUUUUUAUUUUAAACGGACCUGUUUAUCUGAUUUUGUAGUUAUAAAACUAGGCAGUAACGUCCUAUUUAACCACAUUCAGGGUUGGAUUAUCUAUUGAAUCAUUCAUCAAAGUGUCUCCAUUAAAGAACAGAAUGUUAAAUAGUGUUCUUUGGAUGCGGUUUGACGACGGAAGCUCGUUAUUCUAUAUUACUCCGUAUCUCCACAGCAGCUCAGAGCUGUGAAGCUGCUGAGGUGUGAAGGCGUCCGCUUGUCUCUGCUGUGACCUUCUGGGGUUUUUUUCUCGCUGUGUGCUCUCAGGGUGUGACUCUGACUGAUCUGAAGGAGGCAGAGAAGAACGUGGGUAAAGCUGUGGACUCCCCACCUCGCAACGUCCAAUCUGUGAGCCCCAUCGUCACCGUCACGCCCGCCGAAAGAGGCCGAGUUUUUAUAACAGCGCAGAUGUGGAGGAGCAAAUAUCUGUUGGUCAGAACGAGGAGCCGGAUCCUGGAUCAGAAGCUGAUCCGCCUCACAGUCCCUCUUUGUCCAGUCUGGAGCAGAAGGAGCCCGUUUGUUACUCCGUGGAGGCGGUUCUCGGGCCUCAGCUUUUCAAACCGCUUUUUAGCUUCUAUACAAAACCCAGAAGUCAAGAAGCAACAUCUCCCUCUGUCCCCCCGUCUUCUUCAGAGACGCCCUCCAGCUCGGUAAAUCCGAUGGAAGCUCCAUAUUCUGUGGAUGCUGUCCUCAGGUCUUUUAAAUCCAUGGAAGGUUCGGAACUUGUUGACAACACAAAAAGUUUCCCUCAAACCCCAACAUACUCUAAGGAAAUCACAGAUCGUCCACUUUGGUCCCAAAACCAACAAUUAAAGGAAAACGCCACGAUUCAAAUGAAGACGUCACAGGAUGACAUGCUAGAAAGCUCGUCUUCUCUUCCAUUUGGAUACAGAAACAGUCAGCUUCCUAAAGUAACUUCUCCCACUGAAAGUUCUCCCAAACACCCUCCAAAGCUCAAACCUCAUGUUUCUGUUCUGCAACCUGAUUUUCUAUCUUUAAUGAAGCGCUCUGUUGGUGUCAGAGGCUCUAAUAAUGGACCUGCAACAAGUUCUGUUCAGGCCAAAGCCUCUGAAACUCCACAUCAGCCCCAGAACAUGCAGUCAAACCUGAAACCUGACCCCUCCUCUGAAACCCGGGAUGGCUUUUCCCAACAGAGUCUCUUUUCUGGCCGUUUUGUGGGUGUGACUGACGGUGCAAUGCCUAAACCCGCCUGUGUGAAGGCUCCGUCUGACCUUCAGGGCUUUAACAAACCCAAACGGUCGUUAGAAACUAAAGGGAUCCCAACAUCUCAUAGGGGCCGGCGCCGCACCCCAGCCCCCCUCCCUGCAGACCGCUGCCUGCCAUGGACACCCGGCCCAUCAGGGCGUUGCCUAUGCCUCGUCUGGUUAGCGCUGAUGCCAAGCAAACUCCCCAGAAGACGGAGUCUCCCAGAUGCUCCUCUAGUUCUGAAACCGAUUCUGCUGGCGGCCCGUCUGCAUGUCGGACUCAGCAGGAGGGGCCGGAUGCGUCGCCCCCCAGAGAGAAGUCUGACGGUUCAGUUCUGAAAUCCCUGUUUGUGAGUCUGGGUCCGUACCAGGAGGACACUAAGCAACGGAACCACGAUCUGAGCCCAGAACCGGGAGGUCAGUGCAUUUUCCUGUCCCACAGCAGUUUUGGACCGCAAGGACCAGACUCUUUCGGCAAUUCUUCUUUCAUCGCUCCGGUUCCUUGUGAUAUCCCCCACUGACUGGGUGUUUGGUGGAACCCGCUGCUGCUGCUGUACAGAGUUUUGGUCCUUUUUGUGGAGGUGUCCAUAGGUGUUCUCUACACGCCCCCCCCCCCCCCCCCCCAUCCGCUGUGGUGGUCCAACGAGGGAGUCGCUGACGGCGGCGUCUGCUCCCCCCUCCCACUUCGUCUACGGCCAACCACGUGUCUGUGCAGGUUCUCCUGGGAGUUGGAGGCCGGUAGUGACGUGUGUACACCUACCUACCGUUUCCUGACCAUCUGUAACAAAAAGACUCUGGUACACAAACUCUGGGACUUCACUGGUUUGCUGUGUUUUGCUUGUUUGCACCUAUACCCCUGCAUGUUACGGGGUAUUGUUUGUUCUGUUCCAGUGUUGUUGGGGUACCCGUGCUAUCAACAGGUGGGCUUGAGGCCCUUAAUGUUAUUUGUUUUACUCUGUUUUAAUUAUUUAUAUGAAGCUCUUACUCUUUUUAUCUGGUUUUAUCCUGUUUUUUUUUAUUAUUGAUAUUAAAACUAUUUUUUUAAGCCAGAACCACGUCUCCACCUGGUUGAGUCCUCAGUUUUGUUUGGUGUGCCUAACCGCUCGUGUUGCCACACAGGCAAAAGAAGAAAAAGGUUUGUUUAAUUAUCAAGACGUUCCGAUCAUCAGUGCCUGAAGGGGCAACUGUUUAAAUUUAAAAGGUCCAGUAAUUUUUGCUUGAUGAAGUCUUUGAUCCAGACCGUCGUAAUGGACCGAGGUAAAUGCUGAAAUUCCAGAAACGACCACAAACAGAGCUGAAUGGGCAGAAUAGCAGCUUACUUGAUGAAGUUUCGUGUUUAAAGUAGAGAACUCUUCCAUUUAAAGGUAUGAAUGGAGGGCUGACAGGAUCAGGAGUUCAGACCGGCGCCUCGGGUCCUCUAAACUUUCUUCAUUUCAUUCAUUUUGUUUUUUUCUGGCCAUCAGACUCCAGCUUCCUGUAACCAGACUUCAGAUAAAGUGGAGCAGCAGACAGCCGGUCUUUGCAGUCCCGGUACGGCCCCCCUUCAGCUGGGAAAGUCGGUCACGGUUCCGUCAGAACCAGCGGCACCGCUGAUGCAGUGUCCUGCUCGGCGAACGACAGAGGAAGUAGACGGGAUCACGGGGAGUGUGGCAGGGGGCUCGUUUAAGGACCUCUUUAAGGCUUUAAACUGUUCUGCUUUUGACUGAAAUCACAGGAACCCAAUCAAGGGGAACCCAAUCAAGGUGCACCGUUUGGUUCUGAUUUUAGUAUUGUGGCACCCAGUGCUCUAAUGUUGGACAAUAUUUUUAUGGAUGAGGCUGAAGCGGACAUCUGAUCUUUUAUUUUGUAUUUUUUUUUAGUCUCCAGUUUACUUUAACUUUUGAAGUUUAUCUUCAUCCUCUGUAAAUUAAUUUUAGCUGCUUUAAACUUCGUUGUCCUCUAGAAUUCCUCUAGGAAACAUUGAAAUGUGAUUAUAGAUUUUUAACCCGUAAAGUGGAAGCUAAAAAAGAUCGGACGCCAACUUUAGCCUUGUCUAACUUUUAAAAUGCGGCACAUAAAUAUAAAAAAAUAUUGAAAAUAUAUAUUUUUUUUUAAAACAGCGACAAAAGCGGGUAUUUUCUAAAUAUAAUAACUGUUUGGACAACUUUAUUAGCAGCAUCCUUGUUACAUUAGACAGCUGGCUGAUGAAUACUAUGCAUAUUAUUAUUAUCGUGUUUUGUUCUCCAUGGCCCGGAACAGACUUUCCAAUCUGCUGUCUGGGGGGGUUGGGGACCACUGCUACAGCACACAGUGAUCCUGGAUUUCUGACUACACCUUUUUAUCAUCAGCAGAUUUUGUUCAAAUUAUUAAUCCUGAACUAAGAAUUUCAAGCAUUAACUCACUAAAAUCUCUGCAGGAGCCAGUUUAGCUCGUUCUGGUUUGCGGCACCUUUGGACCGUGAAACCAGGGUUCAAAACCGGGCUGCUCCCUGGUCCCUUCUCUACUUCUGUGUGCCGGUCCCAAGCCCGGUUUAAUUGAGAGGGUUGCGUCAGGCCGGGCAUCCGGCGUAAAGCAUUGCCAAGUCUACCAUGUGACUAGUCCUUGACGGUGAGGAUGAUUCGCUGUGGCGACCCUUGUUGGGACAAGCCGAAAGGGAAAGAAGAAGAAAAACUCACUAAAACCUCUGCUUUUACAGUUCUACUUUUUCUUUCAUGCAGCUUGGGUUGUUCACAUCCAUUUAUGAGCCAAAAAUGUGAGCUUUCAUUGCCCUGAACAACUACAGACAAUCCUAAAACCUUAAGGCCGUGUCACACAGCCACUACAUACAUUUUCCGCAUAUUCCACGGACUUAAAUCAGUCAGACGUGAAUAUACGUGGUAGAAGUGAGAAAAGUUGUGGUUCUUUACGUGAAAUUUUCACAGAUGUUUCAUUGACGAACCACACUAAAACCAUGAAAGUAUGAAUCAUCCCAAACUUGUACAAAUAAAUCACGCAAAGAACACAGAAAUCAAUGUACAACAUGAACCGUGCUUGACUAUUGCUGCGUUAUAUGCAAUCAUUAGUGAUCCAUGCACCAAUUGCGUAAUUUUAACGUGAUAUACCCAAUAUAAAAGUUAUGCUACGGUGGUAGAUGCUUGACUAGUCUGAUAAACACAUGUGGAACGGUCGUGGAAAGGCACAAAUUUCUCGCAAUAAACUACGUUAAAUACUCAAAUUUCGUAAUUCUCAACUGAACAAAAAAUUGGAACAGCUCAAAACAGAAUUGACCUAAAGACCCGUUGGCAGACACCCUCGACGGACAUCUGCGCACAUCAACAAAUGACAAACGCAAGAAACGCUUUUGAAGUUCAUACAUCUCGGUGUAUCACAAAAAAAAUGAAAUAUCAUCGGAAAUAAUUUUAGCUGCAUAAAAAAAUAUUUUAUUAUUAAAAAUCCUAUCAUUUAAUGCUGUUGGAUAUGCUUUCCGUCAAGUAACAUUUCAUCUUCAGAUAUUUGGUAUAUUUUUAUUAAUAAAAGUGUAACAGAAAGUAUGUAUAAAAUGGAAAACACUUUUAAAUCAUUUAAAAAAACAACAAGCAAUGAUUAAAACUCUGAACAGAUAGAUAUACAGACAUAAAUACAUCUGUUUACAGCUCUCCUACCCCUCCAGCGCCCCCUCCUUAUCCUUCACCCAAAGUCCCUCCAACACGUCCUUAAUCCAAACCCCUCCAACACGCCCCCUCCACCGUUCACCCAAAUCCCAUCCAGCUCCUGCUCCUCCUGGUCCAUCACCCAAACCACCCUCAACUUGACCUCCUCUGUGCGGCUCUAGAGGUGCUAUCCCCCAGAGCAGGGGUCGGCAACCCAAAAUAUUGAAAGAGCCAAAUUGGACGAAAAACACAAAUAUGUCUGGAGCCGCAAAAUAUUAAAAGCCCUAUUUAAGC
This is a non-coding RNA of Oryzias latipes (Japanese medaka), 5576 nucleotides long. The record is from RefSeq and is a predicted model, not a curated record. NCBI's taxonomy places the organism in Eukaryota, Metazoa, Chordata, Actinopteri, Beloniformes, Adrianichthyidae.